AAUAGAUACCCUGGUAGUCCACGCCGUAAACGAUGGAUACUAGCGUGUUGGGCGCAAGUUCAGUGGCUAAGCGAAAGUGAUAAGUAUCCCACCUGGGGAGUACGAACGCAAGUUUGAAACUCAAAGGAAUUGACGGGGGCCCGCACAAGCGGUGGAGCAUGUGGUUUAAUUCGAUGAUACGCGAGGAACCUUACCAAGGCUUAAAUGCAGACUGACCGGUUUGGAAACAGACCUUUCGCAAGACGGUCUACAAGGUGCUGCAUGGUUGUCGUCAGCUCGUGCCGUGAGGUGUCAGGUUAAGUCCUAUAACCGAGCGCAACCCCUGUUGUUAGUUGCCAGCGAGUCAUGUCGGGAACUCUAGCAAGACUGCCAGUGCAAACUGUGAGGAAGUGGGGAUGACGUCAAAUCAUCACGGCCCUUAGCCUUGGGCUACACACGUGCUACAAUGGCCGGUACAGAGAGCAGCCACCCCGGCGAGGGGGANCGAAUCUAUAAAGCCGGUCACAGUUCGGAUCGGAGUCUGCAACUCGAC
RNAcentral lists this ribosomal RNA (532 nucleotides) under uncultured bacterium. RNAcentral describes it as "bacterial SSU rRNA". It matches the Rfam family "Bacterial small subunit ribosomal RNA", at positions 777 to 1316 of the family's 1533-position model. The record is from RNAcentral.